UCGAGAAUCUUCGGCAAUGGGCGAAAGCCUGACCGAGCGAUGCCGCGUGCGGGAUGAAGGCCCUCGGGUUGUAAACCGCUGUCAGUUGGGAGGAAGUGCCGAUGAAGAAUCGGUAUUGACCUAUCUUCAGAGGAAGUCCGGGCUAAGUUCGUGCCAGCAGCCGCGGUAACACGAACCGGACGAACGUUAUUCGGAAUUAUUGGGCUUAAAGGGUGCGUAGGCGGCCAUGUAGGUGGGGUGUGAAAUCCCUCGGCUCAACCGAGGAACUGCGCUCCAAACCACAUGGCUAGAGGGAGACAGAGGUAAGCGGAACUGAUGGUGGAGCGGUGAAAUGCGUUGAUAUCAUCAGGAACACCAGUGGCGAAAGCGGCUUACUGGGUCUCUUCUGACGCUGAGGCACGAAAGCUAGGGUAGCGAACGGGAUUAGAUACCCCCGUAGUCC
This 442-nucleotide ribosomal RNA is filed under the name uncultured prokaryote. Its description in RNAcentral is "bacterial SSU rRNA". It matches the Rfam family "Bacterial small subunit ribosomal RNA", at positions 355 to 796 of the family's 1533-position model. The record is from RNAcentral.